RNAcentral lists this ribosomal RNA (335 nucleotides) under Panthera onca (jaguar). Its description in RNAcentral is "partial 16S ribosomal RNA". It matches the Rfam family "Bacterial large subunit ribosomal RNA", at positions 2006 to 2515 of the family's 2925-position model. The record is from RNAcentral. Lineage: Eukaryota; Metazoa; Chordata; Mammalia; Carnivora; Felidae.
GAGGGCUUUACUGUCUCUUACUUCCAAUCCGUGAAAUUGACCUUCCCGUGAAGAGGCGGGAAUAUGACAAUAAGACGAGAAGACCCUAUGGAGCUUUAAUUAACCGACCCAAAGAGAUCUUGAUAAUCAACCGACAGGGAUAACAUACCUCUACCAUGGGCCGACAAUUUAGGUUGGGGUGACCUCGGAGAAUAAAACAACCUCCGAGUGAUUUAAAUCUAGACUAACUAGUCGAAAGUACUACAUCACUUAUUGAUCCAAAAACUUGAUCAACGGAACAAGUUACCCUAGGGAUAACAGCGCAAUCCUAUUUUAGAGUCCAUAUCGACAAUAGG